RNAcentral lists this transfer RNA (71 nucleotides) under Heliconius melpomene (postman butterfly). RNAcentral's name for it is "tRNA HMEL017408". It matches the Rfam family "tRNA". From Rfam's summary of the family: Transfer RNA (tRNA) molecules are approximately 80 nucleotides in length. Their secondary structure includes four short double-helical elements and three loops (D, anti-codon, and T loops). Lineage: Eukaryota; Metazoa; Arthropoda; Insecta; Lepidoptera; Nymphalidae. The record is from RNAcentral.
GAACUAGGCUUAGUUGGUCAGAGCGCUUGGACAGUUUCUAAGAGGUGCGGGUUCAAAUCUCGCUAUGUUCA